Molecule: unclassified non-coding RNA, 148 nt
Organism: Macaca fascicularis (crab-eating macaque)
Lineage: Eukaryota; Metazoa; Chordata; Mammalia; Primates; Cercopithecidae
Rfam family: Metazoan signal recognition particle RNA
About the family: The signal recognition particle (SRP) is a universally conserved ribonucleoprotein. It is involved in the co-translational targeting of proteins to membranes.
Source: Ensembl
GCUGGGCAUGGUGGCACAUGCCUGUAGUCCCAGCUACUAGGGAGGCUGAGGUGGGAGGAUCACUUGAGCCUGGGAGGUCAAGGCUGCAAUGAGCCAUGAGCAGGCCACUGCACUCCAGCCUGGGCAACAGAGAGAGACCCUGUCUUUA